GAUGAACGCUGGCGGCGUGCUUAACACAUGCAAGUCGAACGAAGCAUUUAAGACAGAUUACUUCGGUUUGAAGUCUUUUAUGACUGAGUGGCGGAUGGGUGAGUAACGCGUGGGUAACCUGCCUCAUACAGGGGGAUAGCAGCUGGAAACGGCUGGGUAAUACCGCAUAAGCGCACGGUAUCACAUGAUACAGUGUGAAAAACUCCGGUGGUAUGAGAUGGACCCGCGUCUGAUUAGCUAGUUGGUGAGGUAACGGCCCACCAAGGCGACGAUCAGUAGCCGACCUGAGAGGGUGACGGCCACAUUGGGACUGAGACA
This 318-nucleotide ribosomal RNA is filed under the name uncultured bacterium. Its description in RNAcentral is "bacterial SSU rRNA". It matches the Rfam family "Bacterial small subunit ribosomal RNA", at positions 28 to 326 of the family's 1533-position model. The record is from RNAcentral.